UACACUCCUGCGGGAGGCAGCAGUGGGGAAUAUUGGACAAUGGGCGCAAGCCUGAUCCAGCCAUGCCGCGUGAGUGAUGAAGGCCCUAGGGUUGUAAAGCUCUUUCACCGGUGAAGAUAAUGACGGUAACCGGAGAAGAAGCCCCGGCUAACUUCGUGCCAGCAGCCGCGGUAAUACGAAGGGGGCUAGCGUUGUUCGGAUUUACUGGGCGUAAAGCGCACGUAGGCGGACUAUUAAGUCAGGGGUGAAAUCCCGGGGCUCAACCCCGGAACUGCCUUUGAUACUGGUAGUCUUGAGUUCGAGAGAGGUGAGUGGAAUUCCGAGUGUAGAGGUGAAAUUCGUAGAUAUUCGGAGGAACACCAGUGGCGAAGGCGGCUCACUGGCUCGAUACUGACGCUGAGGUGCGAAAGCGUGGGGAGCAAACAGGAUUAGAUACCCGGGUAGUCC
This 447-nucleotide ribosomal RNA is filed under the name uncultured organism. Its description in RNAcentral is "partial 16S ribosomal RNA". It matches the Rfam family "Bacterial small subunit ribosomal RNA", at positions 332 to 796 of the family's 1533-position model. The record is from RNAcentral.